RNAcentral lists this non-coding RNA (28 nucleotides) under Mus musculus (house mouse). The record is from RNAcentral. Lineage: Eukaryota; Metazoa; Chordata; Mammalia; Rodentia; Muridae.
UGGGGUCUUACACAGAAAGCAGAGCUGU